GUAUGUCAGUGUGUCUGUGUGUGUAUGUCAGUAUGUCUGUCAUAGACACACACAGACAUACUGACAUACAUACACAAACAGACAU
Molecule: non-coding RNA, 85 nt
Organism: Pelobates cultripes (western spadefoot toad)
Lineage: Eukaryota; Metazoa; Chordata; Amphibia; Anura; Pelobatidae
Source: the annotation of a GenBank genome assembly